UACGUAGGGCGCAAGCGUUGUCCGGAAUUAUUGGGCGUAAAGAGCUCGUAGGCGGCUUGUCACGUCGGGUGUGAAAGCCCGGGGCUUAACCCCGGGUCUGCAUUCGAUACGGGCUAGCUAGAGUGUGGUAGGGGAGAUCGGAAUUCCUGGUGUAGCGGUGAAAUGCGCAGAUAUCAGGAGGAACACCGGUGGCGAAGGCGGCAUCCUGGACCAAUACUGACACUGAGGAGCGAAAGCCAGGGGAGCAAACGGG
Molecule: ribosomal RNA, 253 nt
Filed under: uncultured bacterium
Lineage: Bacteria
Description: partial 16S ribosomal RNA
Rfam family: Bacterial small subunit ribosomal RNA
Source: RNAcentral